CAGAAUUAAAGGCUACACAAUUUAAUUAAGAAACUUUUUUCCAAAGCAAGAUAUUUUUAAUAUUAAAUAAAAAAUUAUCAUAUACAAUAAAAUAAAUAAAAUAAAAUUGUUGGGAUUUGAUACCCAAUAACUCAUCAGGCAGUGAUGUUAAAUCAUUAGUACUCAAUCGCAUCGACCAAAUGAUUGAAGUGAAAUAACGACACCUCAAAUGGAACAACUCAAACGUAUAACAAGUGUGAGCCAUUUGAAGUAGCCUAAUUCAUUUAGAGUUGCUCAUGGCCAAACUCCUAACUCCUUAGAUGGCUUUUGUACCUAGCCCACUUAUUAAUUGCUUUAUUGGCUUGGCCCAUUAUUUAACCUAAAUUUGCCAUAACUAAUAUAUAUUGGUUAGCCCCUUGUGACCGUGUGAAUUGUAAAAUCCUUGAGAGAUAACCUCGCUGCGUUCUUCUCUUCUGCUUCAUGCUACUUUCUGCCUUAGCUUCUUCUUCAUCUAGUUUUCUUCAGCCUUUGUUGCUAUCACCUAUAUGGCUACAAUAACACCUUCUUUUAUGCAUCCUUUUGUGGAUAAUAAAAGCGAUUGGAGUGGGUGAAAUUAUAGGUGAUUUUGGGUUGGUUCUUUGUG
RNAcentral lists this long non-coding RNA (622 nucleotides) under Olea europaea (common olive). Its description in RNAcentral is "long non-coding RNA (OEUR_LNC005454)". Lineage: Eukaryota; Viridiplantae; Streptophyta; Magnoliopsida; Lamiales; Oleaceae. The record is from RNAcentral.